UAGUAACUGCGAGUGAAGCGGGAAAAGCUCAAAUUUAAAAUCUGGCGGUCUCUGGCCGUCCGAGUUGUAAUCUAGAGAAGUAAUGCCCGCGCUGGACCGUGUACAAGUCUCCUGGGAUGGAGCGUCAUAGAGGGUGAGAAUCCCGUCUCUGACACGGACUACCAGGGCUUUGUGGUAUGCUCUCAAAGAGUCGAGUUGUUUGGGAAUGCAGCUCAAAAUGGGUGGUAAAUUCCAUCUAAAGCUAAAUAUUGGCGAGAGACCGAUAGCGAACAAGUACCGUGAGGGAAAGAUGAAAAGAACUUUGGAAAGAGAGUUAAACAGUACGUGAAAUUGCUGAAAGGGAAACGCUUGAAGUCAGUCGCGUUGGCCAGGGAUCAGCCUCACUCUUGUGUGGUGUACUUUCUGGUUGACGGGUCAGCAUCAAUUUUGACCGCUGGAAAAAGGCCUGGGGAAUGUGGCAGCUUCGGCUGUGUUAUAGCCCCUAGUCACAUAUAGCGGUUGGGAUUGAGGAACUCAGCACGCCGCAAGGCCGGGUUUCGACCACGUUCGUGCUUAGGAUGCUGGCAUAAUGGCUUUAAGCGACCCGUCUUGAAACACGGACCAAGGAGUCUAACAUGCCUGCGAGUAUUUGGGUGGAAAACCCGAGUGCGUAAUGAAAGUGAAAGUUGAGA
RNAcentral lists this ribosomal RNA (671 nucleotides) under Chlorophyllum agaricoides. RNAcentral's name for it is "eukaryotic LSU rRNA". It matches the Rfam family "Eukaryotic large subunit ribosomal RNA", at positions 81 to 740 of the family's 3401-position model. Lineage: Eukaryota; Fungi; Basidiomycota; Agaricomycetes; Agaricales; Agaricaceae. The record is from RNAcentral.